UGCCAGCCGCCGCGGUAAUACGAAGGGUGCAAGCGUUGUUCGGAUUUAUUGGGCGUAAAGGGCGUGUAGGCGGAAAAAUAAGUCAGGUGUGAAAGCCCGGGGCUCAACCCCGGAAGUGCAUUGGAAACUGGCGAACUUGAGUACGGGAGAGGAAAGUGGAAUUCCGAGUGUAGGGGUGAAAUCCGUAGAUAUUCGGAGGAACACCAGUGGCGAAGGCGGCUUUCUGGACCGAUACUGACGCUGAGACGCGAAAGCGUGGAGAGCAAACAGGAUUAGAGA
This 279-nucleotide ribosomal RNA is filed under the name uncultured bacterium. Its description in RNAcentral is "partial 16S ribosomal RNA". It matches the Rfam family "Bacterial small subunit ribosomal RNA", at positions 506 to 784 of the family's 1533-position model. The record is from RNAcentral.